Molecule: ribosomal RNA, 253 nt
Filed under: uncultured bacterium
Lineage: Bacteria
Description: partial 16S ribosomal RNA
Rfam family: Bacterial small subunit ribosomal RNA
Source: RNAcentral
UACGUAGGGUGCAAGCGUUGUCCGGAAUCACUGGGCGUAAAGGGCGCGUAGGCGGCCCGAUAAGUAGGGGGUGAAAUCCUGCGGCUUAACCGCAGGGCUGCCUUCUAAACUGUCAGGCUAGAGCACAGUAGAGGCAGGUGGAAUUCCCGGUGUAGCGGUGGAAUGCGUAGAGAUCGGGAAGAACAUCAGUGGCGAAGGCGGCCUGCUGGGCUGUUGCUGACGCUGAGGCGCGACAGCGUGGGGAGCAAACAGG